This 328-nucleotide ribosomal RNA is filed under the name uncultured bacterium. RNAcentral's name for it is "bacterial SSU rRNA". It matches the Rfam family "Bacterial small subunit ribosomal RNA", at positions 568 to 898 of the family's 1533-position model. The record is from RNAcentral.
CGUGUAGGUGGUUUGACGGGUCCGGCAUUAAAUCCCCCGGCCUAACCGGGGAAGUGUGUCGGAAACUAUCAAACUGGAGUCUGAAAAAGGAGAGCGGAACUCCUGGUGUAACGGUGAAAUGUGUGGAUAUCAGGAGGAACACCGGUGGCGAAGGCGGCUCUCUAGUUCAAGACUGACACUGAGGCGCGAAAGCCGGGGGAGCAAACAGGAUUAGAUACCCUGGUAGUCCCGGCCCUAAACUAUGGGUGUUAGGUAUCGGUCUCUCGGGAUCGGUGUCGUAGCUAACGCGUUAAACACCCCACCUGGGAAGUACGGUCGCAAGGCUGAA